Molecule: ribosomal RNA, 561 nt
Filed under: Pleosporales sp.
Lineage: Eukaryota; Fungi; Ascomycota; Dothideomycetes; Pleosporales
Description: LSU rRNA
Rfam family: Eukaryotic large subunit ribosomal RNA
Source: RNAcentral
GGAUUGCCCUAGUAACGGCGAGUGAAGCGGCAUCAGCUCAAAUUUGAAAUCUGGCUCUUUUAGGGUCCGAGUUGUAAUUUGCAGAGGGCGCUUUGGCAUAGGCAGCGAUUCAAGUUCCUUGGAACAGGACGUCACAGAGGGUGAGAAUCCCGUACGUGGUCGCUAGCUCUUGCCGUGUAAAGCCCCUUCGACGAGUCGAGUUGUUUGGGAAUGCAGCUCUAAAUGGGAGGUAAAUUUCUUCUAAAGCUAAAUAUUGGCCAGAGACCGAUAGCGCACAAGUAGAGUGAUCGAAAGAUGAAAAGUACUUUGGAAAGAGAGUCAAAAAGCACGUGAAAUUGUUGAAAGGGAAGCGCUUGCAGCCAGACUUGCCUGUAGUUGCUCAUCCGGGCUUUUGUCCGGUGCACUCUUCUGUAGGCAGGCCAGCAUCAGUUUGGGCGGUUGGAUAAAGGUCUCUGUCAUGUACUUCUCUUCGGGGAAGCCUUAUAGGGGAGACGACAUACAACCAGCCUGGACUGAGGUCCGCGCAUUCGUGCUAGGAUGCUGGCGUAAUGGCUGUAAGCG